AAAAAACAACAAUGACUUUCAGCAUCAUCUUCAUCUGGACGCUCACAGUGUUUGCUCAAGAGUGUAGAGGACAGUACACUGUUACUCAGAGUCCAUCAACAACAGCAGUUCAACCAGGACAACAUGUUCAAAUAAAGUGUAAAGUCAGCAGUGGAGUAUACACAGAUAGCCAUGGUCCCCGAAUGAGCUGGUACUUACAGAAAUCUGGAGAAGCUCCUAAACUCCUCAUAUAUCUCGCAACAAGCCUCUAUUCUGGAACUCCAUCUAGAUUCAGUGGCAGUGGAUCAAACACAGAUUUUACUCUGAGCAUCAGUGGAGUUCAGACUGAAGAUACAGGAGAUUAUUACUGUCAGAGUUUACACAGUGGCAGUAGCUGGGUGUUGACACAGUGAUAAAGACUCGAACAAAAACCUCCGUCAGUCAGACUGAACAGUGACUGCACUGACACACUUCACACAUACUGCAGCUGCUCAUACAAAACACACACACACACACACACGCACAGGCAAACACAUGUUGGGUUUCCAUGUUUUAUGGGGACAUUCCAUAGACGCAAUGGUUUUUACAAACUGUAUAUCAUAUUCCCUAGCCCUAACCCACCCCCUAACCCUAAAAGUCACACACAACUGUCUGCUCUUUUAGAGUUUCAAAAAAGUUAAUUCUGUAUGAUUUAUAAGCUUGUUUCCUCAUGUUGACCAAAAAAUGUCCAUUUUGUCCUCAUACCGUAGGGUUUACCCUUACACCCCCCCCCCCACACACACACACACGCACGCACACGCACGCACGCACACACACACACACACACACACACACACACACACGCACACGCACACACACGCACACAUGCGCGCACGCACAGACUUUGGUUGACUAUCCCCGUGGGGACAGUCCAUAGGCGUAAUGUUUUUUAUACUGUACAAACUGUAUAUUCUAUCCCCUAUCCCUAACCCUAUCCCUAAACCUAAAGAUCAUAGAACACUUUUUGCAUUUUUAGAUUUUAAAAAAAUUGUUCUGUACAAUUUAUAAGCUUUUGUGCCCAUGAGGACCUCAAUUUUAAUCCCCACAUUGACACGAGUCCCCAUGUGUUGGUGUGUAUUCAGGUUUAGGUCCCCACCGGGAUAUACAAACAUGAACGACUAAACAGACGUAUGUUUUUUUUCAGUAAGUGUGUGUCUCAGUUUUUUAACUCAUAUAAAAGUGCUAGACAACAGAUGUAAUGAUGAUCAGAUGAACCCACAGCAGCGGAUCAGUAUCACAAAAUAUGUCCAGAAAAUUCAAUGAUUACACCAGUGCAAAGAAAAACUUUAUAUUUUUUAUCAUUUGGCCAGAAUAAUUCAUUUGUUAAAUUCAAAA
This is a non-coding RNA of Triplophysa rosa, 1353 nucleotides long. The record is from the annotation of a RefSeq genome assembly. NCBI's taxonomy places the organism in Eukaryota, Metazoa, Chordata, Actinopteri, Cypriniformes, Nemacheilidae.